This 366-nucleotide unclassified non-coding RNA is filed under the name Hevea brasiliensis (rubber tree). Lineage: Eukaryota; Viridiplantae; Streptophyta; Magnoliopsida; Malpighiales; Euphorbiaceae. The record is from RNAcentral.
AGCAAGUCAGGUGUUACUACAAUAGCAGGAGGUUAUUCAAAAACAGCAGGCCGUGCUGAUGGACCUGGAUUAAAUGCCUCAUUCUCGGAUGAUUAUGAGCUUUCUUUUAUUCCUAAAAGAUGCGCUCUAAUGAUCUCUGACCAUGGUAAUAGAUUAGUCCGCGAAAUACAACUUAAAGCCGAGGAUUGUUCAAGAGAUUCUCAUUCUGAUCUAAGAGCAGUUUCUACAUGGCUCUUAACCGUGGGACUUCCCUGCUUGGUCUGCUUGAUUAUUGGGUUGGUUAUUCGUCCUUACGUCAUCCCAAAUGAUUAUGUCAGUCGUCUUCAGCACAACAUGACAUGGAAGCACUUCCUAAUCAAUCCGGAG